GACGAACGUUGGCGGCGUGCCUAAUACAUGCAAGUCAACUGAAAUACCGGUAGCAAUACUGGUAUGGAGGUGGCGCACGGGUGAGUAACACGUAGGUAAUCUGCCUUCAGGUCUGACAUAACCCAUCGAAAGGUGAGCUAAUAUCAGAUGAUGCAGCGGCUUGACAUCAAGACAGUUGUUAAAGCUUCGGCGCCUGAAGAUGAGCCNGCGUCUGAUUAGCUAGUUGGCGGGUAACGGCCCACCAAGGCUGCGAUCAGUAGCUGGUCUGAGAGGAUGAUCAGUCACACUGGAACUGAGACACGGUCCAGACUCCUACGGGAGGC
Molecule: ribosomal RNA, 323 nt
Filed under: uncultured bacterium
Lineage: Bacteria
Description: bacterial SSU rRNA
Rfam family: Bacterial small subunit ribosomal RNA
Source: RNAcentral